AGAAUCAACGCUGGCGGCGUGCCUAACACAUGCAAGUCGAACGAGAAAGUGGAGCAAUCCACGAGUAAAGUGGCGCACGGGUGAGUAACACGUGACUAACCUACCCUUGAGUGGGGAAUAACUGAGGGAAACCUUAGCUAAUACCGCAUAACACCUACGGGUCAAAGGAGCAAUUCGCUUAAGGAGGGGGUCGCGGCAGAUUAGUUAGUUGGCGGGGUAAUGGCCCACCAAGACAGUGAUCUGUA
Molecule: ribosomal RNA, 245 nt
Filed under: uncultured bacterium
Lineage: Bacteria
Description: partial small subunit ribosomal RNA
Rfam family: Bacterial small subunit ribosomal RNA
Source: RNAcentral